RNAcentral lists this long non-coding RNA (250 nucleotides) under Malus domestica (apple). Its description in RNAcentral is "long non-coding RNA (MDOM_LNC013189)". The record is from RNAcentral. Lineage: Eukaryota; Viridiplantae; Streptophyta; Magnoliopsida; Rosales; Rosaceae.
UCUGGCAAGCUGCGAGACAAACUUGGCCAAUCUCGACAUCAAUUGAGUCUAUUUAUGGUAAAAUCUUGCUUCCCUUCCCUCUCAGCAUCAUUUUUAUGAUUUAACUUCCUAUUUUUACUUAGUUUUAGGUCUAAAUCAGAAUCUUGACGAAUCCCAAUCAAACUUUCUGGUGUUCUUCCCUAAUCACCAAGCAGGCCUUCAUGCCGUUCAGAACACCAAUGCGCCUUAGCCCGUUUUAGACCAGUCCAAU